UCGAGUUUACAACUCCCAAACCCUUAUGUGAACAUACCUACUGUUGCUUCGGCGGACUCGCCCCGGCGUCCGGACGGCCUCGCGCCGCCCGCGGCCCGGACCCAGGCGGCCGCCGGAGACCUCUAAACUCUGUAUUAUCAGCAUUUUCUGAAUCCGCCGCAAGGCAAAACAAAUGAAUCA
Molecule: unclassified non-coding RNA, 180 nt
Filed under: Akanthomyces lecanii
Lineage: Eukaryota; Fungi; Ascomycota; Sordariomycetes; Hypocreales; Cordycipitaceae
Description: ITS1
Source: RNAcentral